RNAcentral lists this ribosomal RNA (253 nucleotides) under uncultured bacterium. Its description in RNAcentral is "partial 16S ribosomal RNA". It matches the Rfam family "Bacterial small subunit ribosomal RNA", at positions 524 to 776 of the family's 1533-position model. The record is from RNAcentral.
UACGGGGGAUCCGAGCGUUAUCCGGAUUUAUUGGGUUUAAAGGGUGCGUAGGCGGUUUGAUAAGUUAGAGGUGAAAUGUCGGGGCUCAACCCCGAAACUGCCUCUAAUACUGUUGGACUAGAGAAUAGUUGCGGUAGGCGGAAUGUAUGGUGUAGCGGUGAAAUGCCUAGAGAUCAUACAGAACACCGAUUGCGAAGGCAGCUUACCAAACUAUAUCUGACGUUGAGGCACGAAAGCGUGGGUAGCAAACAGG